GGCCUACCAUGGUGGUAACGGGUAACGGGGAAUUAGGGUUCGAUUCCGGAGAGGGAGCCUGAGAAACGGCUACCACAUCCAAGGAAGGCAGCAGGCGCGCAAAUUACCCAAUCCCGACACGGGGAGGUAGUGACAAUAAAUAACAAUACGGGGCUCUUUCGGGUCUCGUAAUUGGAAUGAGUACAAUUUAAAUCCCUUAACGAGGAACAAUUGGAGGGCAAGUCUGGUGCCAGCAGCCGCGGUAAUUCCAGCUCCAAUAGCGUAUAUUAAAGUUGUUGCAGUUAAAAAGCUCGUAGUUGAAUUUCGGGAUUGACACAUCGGUCGUGCCUUAAGGGGUAUGAACUGGUGUAGUCAAUUUCUCACCUUCUGGAGAACCGCGAUGCCCUUAAUUGGGUGUCACGGGGAACCAGGACCUUUACUUUGAAAAAAUUAGAGUGUUUAAAGCAGGCAUUUUGCUUGAAUACAUUAGCAUGGAAUAAUAAAAUAGGACGGCAUGAUUCUAUUUUGUUGGUUUCUAGGAUCACCGUAAUGAUUAAUAGGGAUAGUUGGGGGCAUUAGUAUUCAAUUGUCAGAGGUGAAAUUCUUGGAUUUAUUGAAGACUAACUACUGCGAAAGCAUUUGCCAAGGAUGUUUUCAUUAAUCAAGAACGAAAGUUAGGGGUAACUACUGCGAAAGCAUUUGCCAAGGAUGUUUUCAUUAAUCAAGAACGAAAGUUAGGGGAUCGAAGACGAUCAGAUACCGUCGUAGUCUUAACCAUAAACUAUGCCGACUAGGAAUCAGACGAUGUUAAUUUUUUAAUGACUCGUUUGGCACCUUACGGGAAACCAAAGUGUUUGGGUUC
RNAcentral lists this ribosomal RNA (841 nucleotides) under uncultured Glomus. RNAcentral's name for it is "bacterial SSU rRNA". It matches the Rfam family "Eukaryotic small subunit ribosomal RNA", at positions 338 to 1114 of the family's 1831-position model. The record is from RNAcentral. Lineage: Eukaryota; Fungi; Glomeromycota; Glomeromycetes; Glomerales; Glomeraceae.